GAUGAACGCUGGCGGCGUGCCUAAUACAUGCAAGUCGAGCGAACGGACGAGAAGUUUGCUUCUCUGAUGUUAGCGGCGGACGGGUGAGUAACACGUGGAUAACCCACCUCUAAGACUGGGAUAACUUCGGGAAACCGUAGCUAAUACCGGAUAAUAUUUUGAACCGCAUGGUUCAAAAGUGAAAGACGUUCUUGCUGUCACUUAUAGCUGGAUCCGCGCUGCAUUAGCUAGUUGGUAAGGUAACGGCUUACCAAGGCAACAAUGCAUAGCCGACCUGGGAGGGUGAUCGGCCACUCUGGAGCUGGACCGCGGUCCUGACUCCUACGGGAGGCAGCAGUAGGUAAUGUUCCGCAAUGGGCGAAAGCCUGACGGAGCAACGCCGGGUGAGUGAAGAAGGUCUUCGGAUCGUAAGACGCUGUUAGGAGGGAAGAACAUAUUUGUAAGUAACUGUGCACUUCGUGACGGUACCUAAACAGAAAGCCACGGCUAACUACGUG
Molecule: ribosomal RNA, 497 nt
Filed under: uncultured bacterium
Lineage: Bacteria
Description: partial 16S ribosomal RNA
Rfam family: Bacterial small subunit ribosomal RNA
Source: RNAcentral